UCCAGAGACGACAUUGAAUGGACAAUCGCACCCACAAGUCUGAAGCUCUGGAGCGAGGUCAAAGACAGGUACACAUUUGGGAACCAUCAGCAGAGAGAAGAUACUGAAAGUCACGAAGCUGAAGCAGAAUACCAAGAAAAUGAGUGUAGACAGUGAAGAGAAGAAGCCCUGGAACUGAGUAUGGGGACACUACAGGGAUUAGAGUCAGGAAAUGAGAAGGAAACACAAAGGAGACUGAAGAGGACCAGCCUGACAGGUAAUCCUGUACCUGUUGGAUUGAGCCAGGAAAAUGAAGUAGAAAAUGCUACAACAAUCUGGACCGUGGGCCAUAUGCUCCCUUUGAGAGUCUAAUGAAAAAUAUAAACCCUCUCUCCAGAAAGGUAAGAAGGCAAGGAAAAUGACGGUAGUCGCAGACGGCAACAGGCUGGUGGUGGCGAUCUCUCAGGUUGGUCCCCACCCUGUGCCACUAUUCUCUUUGGACUUCGGCCUCUCCACCUCUCCUGUAGGGUAGGAAAACCUCACAAUCAGCAAAGUGCCCAUCCCAGAAGCUCUCAGGUAAAGCCCUGGUGGAGGAAAAUCCUAAGGAGACAAGACGACCUCAAAAAGUUCGUGGGAAAAUGAAGAUAAAGAACAAGUUUACUUGGGUGCAAGAAGCUUUGAAAUCCAAGCAUAGUUUUGCAUAAUAUGCAUUUUGGAGAACUUCUUGAAGACCCCUUGUAGUUGUGAGUUUACAGGUAAAGAAAAUGGGACAAGGAAUUCAAGGAGGAAUUCAAGCACUAUGAAAGAAGGAAAUCAAAUGAACUCAAGCAAAAAGAAGCAGGACAAGAAAUUUGAGUGAGCAUAGUCAAUAUUCUUAAGAGAGAGAAACAGAAAUCGGGAAGCCAGAAACAACAACAAACAGUUAAGGAAAAAUUGGAGAUUGGGAAUACAAAAUAUUAUUGCAGAACUGAAAAAAUUCAGUGGCUGGGCUGGGAAACAUGGCAUAUCCAAAAAACAAGGGUAUGAGUUGAAAGAUUCAGUCAAGGAAUUAACUCAGAGGUAUGAUGAAGGGUAAGAGAUGCAAACAGUGAGAGAAACGCUGGAGGCGCAGUAGGUGGAGGAAAACUAGACCCCAUCUGUGUAA
This is a long non-coding RNA of Tupaia belangeri chinensis (Chinese tree shrew), 1123 nucleotides long. RefSeq lists it as uncharacterized. The transcript is spliced from 4 exons. NCBI's taxonomy places the organism in Eukaryota, Metazoa, Chordata, Mammalia, Scandentia, Tupaiidae. The record is from RefSeq and is a predicted model, not a curated record.